RNAcentral lists this ribosomal RNA (253 nucleotides) under uncultured bacterium. RNAcentral describes it as "partial 16S ribosomal RNA". It matches the Rfam family "Bacterial small subunit ribosomal RNA", at positions 524 to 776 of the family's 1533-position model. The record is from RNAcentral.
UACGGAGGGGGCUAGCGUUGUUCGGAAUUACUGGGCGUAAAGCGCACGUAGGCGGCUUUGUAAGUUAGAGGUGAAAGCCCGGGGCUCAACUCCGGAAUUGCCUUUAAGACUGCAUCGCUAGAAUUGUGGAGAGGUUGGUGGAAUUCUCGGUGUAGAGGUGAAAUUCGUAGAUAUCGAGAGGAACACCGGUGGCGAAGGCGGCCAACUGGACGAAGACUGACGCUGAGACACGAAAGCGUGGGGAGCAAACAGG